GGUGGCUCAGUGGUGGAGUGCUUGCCUGGCAUGCAUGAGGCCGUGGGUUCGAUUCCUCAGCACCA
RNAcentral lists this transfer RNA (65 nucleotides) under Dipodomys ordii (Ord's kangaroo rat). It matches the Rfam family "tRNA". Rfam says of the family: Transfer RNA (tRNA) molecules are approximately 80 nucleotides in length. Their secondary structure includes four short double-helical elements and three loops (D, anti-codon, and T loops). Lineage: Eukaryota; Metazoa; Chordata; Mammalia; Rodentia; Heteromyidae. The record is from Rfam by way of RNAcentral.